UAAUACGAAGGGGGCUAGCGUUGCUCGGAAUUACUGGGCGUAAAGCGCACGUAGGCGGACUGAUUAGUUGGUGGUGAAAGCCCAGGGCUCAACCUUGGAACUGCCAUCAAUACUGUCAGUCUGGAGCAGAGUAGAGGUGAAUGGAAUUCCAAGUGUAGAGGUGAAAUUCGUAGAUAUUUGGAGGAACACCAGUGGCGAAGGCGACUCACUGGACUCUUGCUGACGCUGAGGUGCGAAAGCGUGGGGAGCAAACAGG
Molecule: ribosomal RNA, 256 nt
Filed under: uncultured bacterium
Lineage: Bacteria
Description: partial 16S ribosomal RNA
Rfam family: Bacterial small subunit ribosomal RNA
Source: RNAcentral